CUACUGCUUAUCUAGAGUAUGGGAGAGGUAGAUGGAAUUUCUGGUGUAGGGGUAAAAUCCGUAGAGAUCAGAAGGAAUACCGAUUGCGAAGGCGAUCUACUGGAACAUUACUGACGCUGAGAUGCGAAAGCGUGGGGAGCAAACAGGAUUAGAUACCCUGGUAGUCCACGCCCUAAACGAUGCACACUAGUUGUUGCUAUGCUGGACAUAGCAGUAAUGCAGUUAACACAGUAAGUGUGCCGCCUGGGGAGUACGGUCGCAAGAUUAAAACUCAAAGGAAUAGACGGGGACCCGCACAAGCGGUGGAGCAUGUGGUUUAAUUCGACGAUACGCGAAGAACCUUACCUGGCCUUGACAUAGUAAGAAUCUAAUAGAGAUAUAAGAGUGCUAGUUUACUAGAGCUUACAUACAGGUGCUGCACGGCUGUCGUCAGCUCGUGUCGUGAGAUGUUGGGUUAAGUCCCGCAACGAGCGCAACCCUCGUGUUUAGUUACUAACAGUUCGGCUGAGGACUCUAGACAGACUGCCUGGGUAACCAGGAGGAAGGUGAGGACGACGUCAAGUCAUCAUGGCCCUUACGGCCAGGGCUACACACGUGCUACAAUGGGGUAUACAAAGAGCCGCGAUACCGUGAGGUGGAGCAAAUCUCAUAAAAUAUCUCCCAGUUCGGAUUGAAGUCUGCAACUCGACUUCAUGAAGUUGGAAUCGCUAGUAAUCGUAGAUCAGCAAUGCUACGGUGAAUACGUUCCCGGGUCUUGUACUCACCGCCCGUCACACCAUGGGAGUUGAUUUCAUUCGAAGCGGGGAUGCUAAAAUAGCUACCCUCCACGGUGGAAUUAGCGACUGGGGUGAAGUCGUAACAAGGUACC
RNAcentral lists this ribosomal RNA (868 nucleotides) under uncultured bacterium. Its description in RNAcentral is "bacterial SSU rRNA". It matches the Rfam family "Bacterial small subunit ribosomal RNA", at positions 630 to 1500 of the family's 1533-position model. The record is from RNAcentral.